AUUGAACGCUGGCGGCAGGCCUAACACAUGCAAGUCGAGCGGAUGAAGGGAGCUUGCUCCUGGAUUCAGCGGCGGACGGGUGAGUAAUGCCUAGGAAUCUGCCUGGUAGUGGGGGAUAACGUCCGGAAACGGGCGCUAAUACCGCAUACGUCCUGAGGGAGAAAGUGGGGGAUCUUCGGACCUCACGCUAUCAGAUGAGCCUAGGUCGGAUUAGCUAGUUGGUGGGGUAAAGGCCUACCAAGGCGACGAUCCGUAACUGGGCUGAGAGGAUGAUCAGUCACACUGGAACUGAGACACGGUCCAGACUCCUACGGGAGGCAGCAGUGGGGAAUAUUCGACAAUGGGCGAAAGCCUGAUACAGCCAUGCCGCGUGUGUGAAGAAGGUCUUCGGAUUGUAAAGCACUUUAAGUUGGGAGGAAGGGCAGUAAGUUAAUACCUUGCUGUUUUGACGUUACCAACAGAAUAAGCACCGGCUAACUUCGUG
Molecule: ribosomal RNA, 484 nt
Filed under: uncultured bacterium
Lineage: Bacteria
Description: partial 16S ribosomal RNA
Rfam family: Bacterial small subunit ribosomal RNA
Source: RNAcentral